RNAcentral lists this microRNA precursor (119 nucleotides) under Hordeum vulgare. RNAcentral describes it as "mir-166 microRNA precursor". It matches the Rfam family "mir-166 microRNA precursor family". From Rfam's summary of the family: This family represents the plant microRNA (miRNA) precursor mir-166. Animal miRNAs are transcribed as ~70nt precursors and subsequently processed by the Dicer enzyme to give a ~22nt product. In plants the precursor sequences may be longer, and the carpel factory (caf) enzyme appears to be involved in processing. RNAcentral also lists the same sequence under 1 other name. The record is from RNAcentral. Lineage: Eukaryota; Viridiplantae; Streptophyta; Magnoliopsida; Poales; Poaceae.
GUUGAGGGGAAUGUUGUCUGGUUGGAGACCUGGCUCGCACGCCGGCCUGCCGGCCGGAUCGAUCGACGGCGGCGUGUGCGUGUGUGCGCGGUUUCGGACCAGGCUUCAUUCCCCCCAAC